GUCAGGAUGGCCGAGCGGUCUAAUGCGUCGUUCAGGACUUCUGUGGGCGUGGGUUCGAAUCCCACUUCUGACA
Non-coding RNA from Trichonephila clavipes, 73 nucleotides. Lineage: Eukaryota; Metazoa; Arthropoda; Arachnida; Araneae; Nephilidae. The record is from the annotation of a GenBank genome assembly.